This is a non-coding RNA of Odocoileus virginianus texanus, 868 nucleotides long. The record is from RefSeq and is a predicted model, not a curated record. NCBI's taxonomy places the organism in Eukaryota, Metazoa, Chordata, Mammalia, Artiodactyla, Cervidae.
UCCAGCACUGUAACGGAGUGGCCUUCCCCCACAUCCUCUGCUUUAGCUCCCCUCUGAAGUACCUAGAUAACAGUAUUUGAUGCACAUUUCCUGAGUUGUGUGGCAGAUAUGAAAACCCCCCACUGCGUGGAAGAUGUUGACUACUUGACUAUCAUGAGCACACAGCCCCAGGCUUCCUGGAGCCUAAGGACGGAUAAGGUUAACCUUGUGACCCCACCAUGUUCCUUCAUCAUCAGCCCGUCAGACACUUGUGCUCAAACUGAUUCUGAGACCGCUCUCCUUCACUUGGCCUUUAAAUAUGCUUUGCUGAAACCCUAUGGGGAGCUCAGGGAUUUUUAGAGCAUGAGCCACCAGUCUUGCAGUGCCCUGCAGUAAACCUUUCUCUGCUCCAAACUGACGUUUCAGUUUGUUUGGCCUCACUGUGCGUUAGUCACAUGAACUUGCGCUAACAGCAUGAUCAGCAGCUGGUUCUUGGUCUCCUACAACUUCAAAGCCUGGCGAGCUUGGAAUGAAGGAUGAGGCCUCCAGGGUACAGGAAAUGGAAGGGUGAAAAAUCACAUGGACGUUCUCCUUGACUUUCUGCUGAUGGGUGAUAGCAGCUAUCCUCAACCUUGGAAAUGGCCUCAAGUGCAAACACCCAGGACAGCUGGGGUUCCGUUCUGGUCUGGAUGGUCAGCAGCUCUCACUGCACAGCCCACCUUGGAUGCUGGCUACUGCCAGUGUCCCGCUGGCCCUGCAAACAGUUCUGUGAAGUAUUCAACAUCGGGAUGACCCAGAUCCAUGGGAAAGUGUAUACAAAGUGGAGUGAGAAGAGUCAAGAGCAGAGUUGUAUGUACACAUUGAUGGCAGCUCUGAAAGCUUAUUUACA